UACGAAGGGUGCAAGCGUUACUCGGAAUUACUGGGCGUAAAGCGUGCGCAGGCGGUCCGCAAAGUCUGAUGUGAAAGCCCCGGGCUCAACCCGGGAACUGCAUUGGAAACUAACGGGCUCGAGUGUGGCAGAGGGGGGUGGAAUUCCACGUGUAGCAGUGAAAUGCGUAGAGAUGUGGAGGAACACCGAUGGCGAAGGCAGCCCCCUGGGCUAACACUGACGCUCAGGCACGAAAGCGUGGGGAGCAAACAGG
This 253-nucleotide ribosomal RNA is filed under the name uncultured bacterium. Its description in RNAcentral is "partial 16S ribosomal RNA". It matches the Rfam family "Bacterial small subunit ribosomal RNA", at positions 524 to 776 of the family's 1533-position model. The record is from RNAcentral.